CAAUACAGGGCUAAUGUCUUGUAAUUGGAAUGAUGGUGACCCAAACCCUCACCAGAGUAGCAAUUGGAGGGCAAGUCUGGUGCCAGCAGCCGCGGUAAUUCCAGCUCCAAUAGCGUAUAUUAAACUUGUUGCAGUUAAAAAGCUCGUAGUUGAACUUUAGCGUGUUCGAGUUUGCCAUUCGUUUGGCCUUUUCGAGUUCGCUUUUGGGUUUUCCCUUUUUACUUUGAGAAAAUUAGAGUGUUUCAAGCAGACUUUUGUCUUGAAUACUUCAGCAUGGAAUAAUAGAGUAGGACUUUGGUUCUAUUUUGUUGGUUAUUGAACCUUAGUAAUGGUUAAUAGG
RNAcentral lists this ribosomal RNA (340 nucleotides) under Babesia vogeli. Its description in RNAcentral is "SSU rRNA". It matches the Rfam family "Eukaryotic small subunit ribosomal RNA", at positions 477 to 876 of the family's 1831-position model. The record is from RNAcentral. Lineage: Eukaryota; Apicomplexa; Aconoidasida; Piroplasmida; Babesiidae.